Oncorhynchus tshawytscha (Chinook salmon) is the source of this 941-nucleotide long non-coding RNA. RefSeq lists it as uncharacterized. NCBI's taxonomy places the organism in Eukaryota, Metazoa, Chordata, Actinopteri, Salmoniformes, Salmonidae. The record is from RefSeq and is a predicted model, not a curated record. The transcript is spliced from 3 exons.
CUUGUUUUGUGACCGUAUGCAGGUUAUUAUUCCAACCUUGCUCUAACGUUAAGUCAACUACACAAGGUCUCGGUGAGCAACUGAAUCAGGUGUGUUUUGAGCAAGGCUGGAACAAAAACCUGCACACCAGUUCUCCAAGGGUUAGGGUUGGACAUCCUGGCAUCUGCUCCAAUAUACCGAGGGUGGCGUGAUUCAUUAUAACCAGGUCCCUGUGUUUUGGUUAAUUCAUUAUAACCAGGUCCCUGUGUUUUGGUUAAUUCAUUAUAACCAGGUCCCUGUGUUUUGGUUAAUUCAUUAUAACCAGGGUCCUGUGUUUUGGUUAAUCAUGUUGAUUCAUUAUAACCAGGUCCCUGUGUUUUGGUUAAUCGUGUUGAUUCAUUAUAAUCAGGUCCCUGUGUUUUGGUUAAUCGUGUUGAUUCAUUAUAUCUAGGACCCUGUGUUUUGGUUCAUUCAUUAUAACUAGGUCCCUGUGUUUUGGUUGAUUCAUUAUAACCAGGGUCCUGUGUUUUGGUUAAUCGUGUUGAUUCAUUAUAAUCAGGACCCUGUGUUUUGGUUAAUCAUGUUGAUUCAUUAUAACCAGGGUCCUGUGUUUUGGUUAAUCAUGUUGAUUCAUUAUAACCAGGGUCCUGUGUUUUGGUUAAUCAUGUUGAUUCAUUAUAACCAGGUCCCUGUGUUUUGGUUAAUCAUGUUGAUUCAUUAUAACCAGGGUCCUGUGUUUUGGUUAAUCAUGUUGAUUCAUUAUAACCAGGGCCCUGUGUUUUGGUUAAUCAUGUUGAUUCAUUAUAACCAGGUCCCUGUGUUUUGGUUAAUCAUGUUGAUUCAUUAUAACCAGGGUCCUGUGUUUUGGUUAAUCAUGUUGAUUCAUUAUAACCAGGUCCCUGUGUUUUGGUUAAUCGUGUUGAUUCAUUAUAAUCAGGUCCCUGUGUUUUGGUUAAUCAUGU